Molecule: long non-coding RNA, 666 nt
Filed under: Brachypodium distachyon (stiff brome)
Lineage: Eukaryota; Viridiplantae; Streptophyta; Magnoliopsida; Poales; Poaceae
Description: long non-coding RNA (BDIS_LNC004547)
Source: RNAcentral
UAUUGUCUCGUUUUGUGUGCGUAGGAAUUAAAAAAAGAGGUAUGAGUGGUCGUUAAGUUCUUGCGUUUUUUCCUUGAAACAAAGAUCAAAGAAAUUUGUCCUCCACUUUUCCUUUACCCAAUUCUUUUGAAUCAAAUGAGUGAAUAGUGUCACUAAAGGUUGUGAGUUUUUUCUUUUGCAAGAAGGGAGAGAGCUUUUUUUUGGUAGUUCAGGUGUGUUGGAAGUACAUUUAGCUGUUCUGUUGCAUAACGUGCAGGCAUCCCCUAGAUGGCAUGAUCAUGUAUAUUUUUGUAGAACUAGUGUGCUCGAGGCGGAGGGUUCACUAGUUUCCUUCCCAUGUUUUUUCUUUCUUGUUGUUUGUGAUGCCCUCUCGCGUUUUUUGUUCGUUUUUAUGUAUAUGUAUAUGCCCAGUUAGACCGUUUGGGACUAGUGUUUUUAUGGGUUUUUUAGUUUUAUAGACUAGUGGAUUGAGCGAAAACACUUGGUUUGGUGGAAAACAUUUGACACAAAGGGAUACAUUGAGGCCUUGUUCAAGCAGAUUUUAACUAAAUGAGUGUUUUCAACCAAAGCCUCAACCAAAAAUACAAUUGCACAUUUUAUUUCAACACUAAAUGAGUGCAAACAAGCAGAUUUUCACAUCAUCUUCUUACUCAACUACUUGGUCAC